This 555-nucleotide ribosomal RNA is filed under the name Dermacoccus sp. EMU_1_1. RNAcentral's name for it is "bacterial SSU rRNA". It matches the Rfam family "Bacterial small subunit ribosomal RNA", at positions 664 to 1219 of the family's 1533-position model. Lineage: Bacteria; Bacillati; Actinomycetota; Actinomycetes; Micrococcales; Dermacoccaceae. The record is from RNAcentral.
GAAUUCCUGGUGUAGCGGUGAAAUGCGCAGAUAUCAGGAGGAACACCGAUGGCGAAGGCAGGUCUCUGGGCCAUUACUGACGCUGAGAAGCGAAAGCAUGGGGAGCGAACAGGAUUAGAUACCCUGGUAGUCCAUGCCGUAAACGUUGGGCGCUAGGUGUGGGACUCAUUCCACGAGUUCCGUGCCGCAGCUAACGCAUUAAGCGCCCCGCCUGGGGAGUACGGCCGCAAGGCUAAAACUCAAAGGAAUUGACGGGGGCCCGCACAAGCGGCGGAGCAUGCGGAUUAAUUCGAUGCAACGCGAAGAACCUUACCAAGGCUUGACAUACACCGGAAUCAUGCAGAGAUGUGUGCGUCUUCGGACUGGUGUACAGGUGGUGCAUGGUUGUCGUCAGCUCGUGUCGUGAGAUGUUGGGUUAAGUCCCGCAACGAGCGCAACCCUCGUUCCAUGUUGCCAGCACGUCAAGGUGGGGACUCAUGGGAGACUGCCGGGGUCAACUCGGAGGAAGGUGGGGAUGACGUCAAAUCAUCAUGCCCCUUAUGUCUUGGGCUUCAC